CUGAUGGGUUGCUGGUUCCUCGCGGGCCGGAACUGGCUGGUUUUUCGGGCCGUGGUGCGUGUCGCGGAUCUCUGAGGGUGUGGGGGCUCUUCUUGGGUCGCAGUUUCUCUGAACCGAUCCUUGGCUUCAAAACAACAUCGUCACGUCGCUCCACAUCUGCAGGCUUUUGACUGUUUUGUCAUCGUGACGGUUCCGUUCCGUAAACAGUCGAGACCAUGGCAGAGCAGAACAUAGAGGCCAAGCUGAAGAACUUGCUGAAGCAGGAGAAGGUCCAGCUGUGGAGUCCUCCGUACACCGAUGACGAUGACCAGCCGGGACAGAUGCACAUGCAGGAGCUAGCACAGCGUUACGCUCCUGUGCUGCAUCUGUCAGUCACAGAGUUAGGGGGCGCUCUAGAGUCCAUCAGAGUACAGGCGGUGAAGAGGGGAAAGAGAAACAAGAUGUUUAGAGAGACCAGCGUAGCCACGCUUGAACUGCUGCUGCCCAGAGACAGCAGGAAGAAUCUGAAGGGGAGGAGCUUCCUGCAGACGAGGCUGGACGUGCCGCUGCAGCAGUUGGUGCAGAGGAUCAGGGAGGAGUUUGACCUUCAACACAUCAAACUGAUCCUCAAUGGCAGAACUCUGUGCGCAGAUCAGCGUCUGGAUGAGCAGGGUGUGAAGAAUCACAGUAAGGUGAUGGUGCUGAAGGUGAGCGACUCUGAGCAGAUGAACAAGGAAGAGCAGGAGAAGAAGGAGCAAAACGAAAGCCUUCAGAGGACCCAGAAAGGCUUCCAGAUCCUGUCUGAGAGAGAUGGCAGCGAGGAUCCAGAGUCCGUGCCGUACCUGGAGAUUGCAGACCAGAAGGGAAACCCACUAAAGAUCCCACACCACGAGAAGAAGGCUCUGAUCCUGGCCAUGGGUCUCCACGAGAGAGGCCGUGCUCUCAUGAAGAAGCAGCAGUACGACAGCGCUCUGUGUCACCUGCUGCAGGCUGACGAGCAGUUCAGUAAGUGCGGCUCUGCGCUGCUCGCCUCGGUGGACAACUUCUCUGUCCUGCAGCUGGACAUCGUGUGGUGCUACAGAGCUCUGGAGGCGCUAGGCUGCCUGGAGGAUGGGCGCGGCCGGCUGCAGCGCGCCGAGGACGGCUUCCUGCGCUGCUACGGAGAGCAGCAGCAGAGGCUGCUCAGGAUCCAGGGAAACUCUGGCCGAGAGGACGUUCUGUUCCUGCGCCUGUACCUCCUGCAGAGCCUGCUGUCCUACAUCGAGGGGAACGACGCCCAGGCGCGCCUGCAGCUGUCCAAGGUGGAGUCCCUGUACGCCCGCCUGUGUCCGGACUCAGAGAAGAUGGCUCAGCUGAUGGCGCUCGGGUUCACCGAGAGAGAAGCUCGUCUUGGACUGAGGGCGUGUCACGGAGAGCUGCAGGAGGCUGCCUUGUACAUCAGCAACCGCCAACAGGAGCGGCAGGAAGUAAAACAACGAGAGAGGAAGAAGAGGAAGAGGAGGAUGGACGCCAUCUCCACCCUGACAGAGCUGGGAUACUCCAGGAGAGAUGCGGCCAGAGCAUUGCACCUCGCUGACGGGAACGUGGACAGAGCCUACAAUAUCCUGCUGGACUCCAGUCAGCCUGAAAGCUCCAACAACAACCUAGAGGAGGGAGUCGGUCUGGAGAAUAUUGAUCAGUGUGUGUUUGUGUGUUUGUCAGCUGCUCUACCUCGGCUUCCAGAGGGACUCGUCUGAAGCCGCUCUCAGGUUGACGGCGGGGGACGUCCAGGCCGCAACUCAGCUGCUGCUGGACAACCAAGGUGUCCUCUCCCCAGAACUGCUGAGUCAGCCUCUUUCCUCUCUUUCCUCGCCAUCGUCAGAGGAGCCCAGCACCUCCUCCACCACUCCAGAGGAGAGUGAGCUGGUCAACGAGGUUCUGGAGGACAUCCCCCGUCAUGAAGAGGAGUAUCUGGACGUGACGCUGGAAGAGGAAGGCCAGCUUAUUGCCACCUUAAAGGCUUACCUGAACCCGGGACCCGUGCACACCAUUUGACGGUCACAUGACCCGCUACGUGCGGAACAGCACAGCACCAUCAUGCUUCCAUCCUGAAUCCACAAACAAAUCCCGAAAGUCCGGGUUUCAAGCAGGCUCUGUCUUUUUUCAGAGAUUGUUUGACAUCUAACCAAUCUGAGCAAAAACAACAGAUCCAGCCUGGGUCAGAACCGAGCCAGCCCCCGACUGAUUCUGUGUGUGUCCCUCUACUGUGAGAAAAGUGAAGAUGAAGAACAGCCAUGACUUCUUCAGUGUCCUGCUCUGAUCAACUCCUGGUACCCACCACAGAUUGGACAAUUUGAGGCAGACAUCCACCGAGUCUUCCAGAACCUUCUGCUUAUCAAACAGUGUUUGUAGAUGAAGGUGCUGCAGAGUCCUGCUGCCUGUUUGUAGUUGCUGUACAUUUUUGUGUGGACUGUCUCAAUAUUAAACAUGACGGAUUAACUUCC
Oryzias latipes (Japanese medaka) is the source of this 2462-nucleotide RNA transcript. It is a transcript of the gene named negative regulator of ubiquitin-like proteins 1, with no coding region annotated. NCBI's taxonomy places the organism in Eukaryota, Metazoa, Chordata, Actinopteri, Beloniformes, Adrianichthyidae. The record is from RefSeq and is a predicted model, not a curated record.